GAUGAACGCUGGCGGCGUGCCUAAUACAUGCAAGUAGAACGCUGAAGGAAGGAGCUUGCUCUUUCCGGAUGAGUUGCGAACGGGUGAGUAACGCGUAGGUAACCUGCCUGGUAGCGGGGGAUAACUAUUGGAAACGAUAGCUAAUACCGCAUAACAGUAGAUGUUGCAUAAUAUCUACUUAAAAGGUGCAAUUGCACCACUACCAGAUGGACCUGCGUUGUAUUAGCUAGUUGGUGAGGUAACGGCUCACCAAGGCGACGAUACAUAGCCGACCUGAGGGGGUGAUCGGCCACACUGGGACUGAGACACGGCCCAGACUCCUACGGGAGGCAGCAGUAGGGAAUCUUCGGCAAUGGACGGAAGUCUGACCGAGCAACGCCGCGUGAGUGAAGAAGGUUUUCGGAUCGUAAAGCUCUGUUGUAAGAGAAGAACGAGUGUGAGAGUGGAAAGUUCACACUGUGACGGUAUCUUACCAGAAAGGGACGGCUAACUACGUG
Molecule: ribosomal RNA, 497 nt
Filed under: uncultured bacterium
Lineage: Bacteria
Description: partial 16S ribosomal RNA
Rfam family: Bacterial small subunit ribosomal RNA
Source: RNAcentral